This 301-nucleotide ribosomal RNA is filed under the name uncultured bacterium. RNAcentral's name for it is "partial 16S ribosomal RNA". It matches the Rfam family "Bacterial small subunit ribosomal RNA", at positions 509 to 809 of the family's 1533-position model. The record is from RNAcentral.
CAGCAGCCGCGGUAAUACGUAGGUGGCAAGCGUUGUCCGGAAUUAUUGGGCGUAAAGCGCGCGCAGGCGGCCUAUCCAGUCUGUCUUAAAAGUUCGGGGCUCAACCCCGUGAUGGGAUGGAAACUAGUAGGCUAGAGUAUCGGAGAGGAAAGCGGAAUUCCUAGUGUAGCGGUGAAAUGCGUAGAUAUUAGGAAGAACACCAGUGGCGAAGGCGGCUUUCUGGACGAAAACUGACGCUGAGGCGCGAAAGCCAGGGGAGCGAACGGGAUUAGAUACCCGCGUAGUCCCUGUCCUUAUACAC